GAUGAACGCUAGCGGCAGGCUUAAUACAUGCAAGUCGAGGGGCAGCAUGACUGUAGCAAUACAGUUGAUGGCGACCGGCAAACGGGUGCGGAACACGUACAGAACCUUCCUUCGAGCGGGGAAUAGCCCAGAGAAAUUUGGAUUAAUACCCCAUAGUAUAUUUGAAAGGCAUCUUUUAAAUAUUAAAGAUUUAUCACUUGAAGAUGGCUGUGCGGCUGAUUAGGUAGUUGGCGGGGUAACGGCCCACCAAGCCUGCGAUCAGUAACUGGUGUGAGAGCACGACCAGUCACACGGGCACUGAGACACGGGCCCGACUCCUACGGGAGGCAGCAGUAAGGAAUAUUGGUCAAUGGACGAAAGUCUGAACCAGCCAUGCCGCGUGGAGGAUGAAGGUCCUCUGGAUUGUAAACUUCUUUUAUAUGGGACGAAAAAAGGCUUUUCUAAGUCGUCUGACGGUACCAUAUGAAUAAGCACCGGCUAACUCCGUGCCAGCCGCCGCCGUAA
This 504-nucleotide ribosomal RNA is filed under the name uncultured bacterium. RNAcentral describes it as "partial 16S ribosomal RNA". It matches the Rfam family "Bacterial small subunit ribosomal RNA", at positions 28 to 523 of the family's 1533-position model. The record is from RNAcentral.